UACGAAGGGGGCUAGCGUUGCUCGGAAUCACUGGGCGUAAAGCGCACGUAGGCGGAUUGCUAAGUCAGGGGUGAAAGCCUGGUGCUCAACACCAGAAUUGCCUUUAAGACUGCAUCGCUUGAACGUCGGAGAGGUGAGUGGAAUUCCGAGUGUAGAGGUGAAAUUCGUAGAUAUUCGGAAGAACACCAGUGGCGAAGGCGGCUCACUGGACGACUGUUGACGCUGAGGUGCGAAAGCGUGGGGAGCAAACAGG
RNAcentral lists this ribosomal RNA (253 nucleotides) under uncultured bacterium. RNAcentral describes it as "partial 16S ribosomal RNA". It matches the Rfam family "Bacterial small subunit ribosomal RNA", at positions 524 to 776 of the family's 1533-position model. The record is from RNAcentral.